Molecule: long non-coding RNA, 607 nt
Organism: Melitaea cinxia (Glanville fritillary)
Lineage: Eukaryota; Metazoa; Arthropoda; Insecta; Lepidoptera; Nymphalidae
Exons: 2
Source: RefSeq, a predicted model, not a curated record
AAUCUCACUUCGGAAUUAAUGCGCCGUCAUUUCGAGGUGAAUAGGAUUUGAGAGACACAAUGAGGACUCGUAUCACUCCACGGACGUUUGAGAACAUGUUUCUUCGCCCCUCGAAGUACAAGCACCAGGGAUGCGGUGUCGAGGGUCACACAGCUACUUACAAUUGCACGCCCACCUGGCAAGACAUUGACUACAAUGGCCUAUCACGCGCUUGCGCCCGAUGUAAUAAGUGCGCCUACGGUCAGGUAGCAGACAUGUUGUCAUAUUCUAAUAGAAAAUGGUCGACUUAGGUCGUACACCACACGUCGUGUAACGCUUGAAUAAUGAAUGGAAUACUUUCACGUUACCGACAUUUAUUAGAUUUAGUACAAACAUAAGGACGAGGCGUGUCAAAACAACCUAAUUUCAGUAUCAACAAACGGUCUCCUUGGGCGGCGUGCGCUGCCGCUCAGUGACAAUAUUAAAGGCGUCUUAAUGACAUUAUUCCCGGGUGGGAAAAAAACUUCUAGAAAAAAAUUCAGGAAAAAGGAAAUAGUCGACUUACUGCGCUGGCGCAUGUUUAGUCUACGAUCAUUAUUUGUAAUAAAUAUCCUUAAUUAAUGUAUUA